GACAGAGGAUGCAAGCGUUAUCCGGAAUGAUUGGGCGUAAAGCGUCUGUAGGUGGCUUUUCAAGUCCGCCGUCAAAUCCCAGGGCUCAACCCUGGACAGGCGGUGGAAACUACCAAGCUGGAGUACGGUAGGGGCAGAGGGAAUUUCCGGUGGAGCGGUGAAAUGCGCAGAUAUCAGGAGGAACACCGGUGGCGAAGGCGGGUCUCUGGGCAGUAACUGACGCUGAGGAGCGAAAGCGUGGGGAGCGAACAGG
Molecule: ribosomal RNA, 253 nt
Filed under: uncultured bacterium
Lineage: Bacteria
Description: partial 16S ribosomal RNA
Rfam family: Bacterial small subunit ribosomal RNA
Source: RNAcentral